Harpia harpyja (harpy eagle) is the source of this 2226-nucleotide RNA transcript. It is a transcript of the gene named mediator complex subunit 20, with no coding region annotated. The record is from RefSeq and is a predicted model, not a curated record. The transcript has 5 exons. NCBI's taxonomy places the organism in Eukaryota, Metazoa, Chordata, Aves, Accipitriformes, Accipitridae.
UGCGCUUUGCCCCCGCCCCUUCCGGCGGCAACGUCAUCCCCGCCUCUUCCGCCGGUGCUUCUGUCCCGGCGGGGCGGGCGGGCGCGGUAUGGGGGUCACCUGCGUGGCGCAGGUGCCGGUGGCGGAGGGGAAGAGCCUGCAGCAGACGGUGGAGAUCCUGACGCGGAAACUGGAGCUGCUGGGGGCCGAGAAGCAGGGAACCUUCUGCGUGGACUGCGAGACCUACCACACCGCCGCUUCCACCAUCAGCAGCCAAGGGCAGACAGGCAAGCUGAUGUAUGUGAUGCACAACGCCGAAUAUCCCCUCAGCUGCUUUGCUCUCUUUGAAAACGGUCCCUGCCUCAUAGCAGAUGCCAACUUUGAUAUCCUUAUGGUGAAGUUGAAAGGCUUCUUCCAAAACGCCAAGGCGAACAAGAUAGAGAGCCGGGGCACCCGCUACCAGUACUGUGACUUCUUGGUGAAGGUGGGCACAGUUACAAUGGGGCCCAGUGCCCGUGGGAUAUCUGUGGAGGUGGAGUACUGCCCCUGUGUGAUAGCUAACGACUGCUGGAACCUGCUCAUGGAGUUCAUGCAGAGCUUCAUGGGGAACCACACUCCCGGCAUCCCGUCCGUGUUUGGCACCAAGCACGACAGCAUCUACAGCCCAGCAGACACGAUGGUUCAGUACAUGGAGCUGUUCAACAAAAUCCGCAAGCAGCAGCAGGUGCCUGUAGCGGGGAUCAGAUGAAAGGACUCCCUGGAGCCUGGUUUAGAGCGACUGCAUCCUCUUUUCUACCUGCCCAUCUGGAUCAGGAUUCCCUCCAAAAAGUGGCACUGGAGGCAGCCCAAGAUGAUACUGAUGAAGCCUUGUGAUAAAUAAAUAAAUAAGCCUGGCAGGAGCCCUCUCAUGCAUUGAAAGAGAAUACCAACCGCUUUGUCGCUUUGUUUGAAAGGUAGGUAAUAAAUGUCCUAUCCCUGCACACCAUUUCUCAUUUGAGAAAUCUUGGUGACUUCAGCGGAUUUAAUGGAGUAAGGAAGGACUUGGGGAGUAAGAGCCAAAAAUUUAUUAUAAGACUUAAUGAUACAGUAUCACUCAAAUAUUUUUUUUUAGUGGCGAUUUAUUUUUACAGCUGGAAAACCAGGGAAAUCAGAUCCCUUUUGAGCAAUCUGUCCCCUUGGUUUUACUUGUUCAGUAUCUGUCCAGCUUGUAGCUGUCAUUUUUUCUUCUCCUCCCUGCUCCACUCCCUGCUCAGUCUCAGAAUACGGAAACACCCUCAUUCAGCCACGGACCUUUGCACUGAGCUUUCUUCGUGGUUCCUGCGAAGGCUGUGUGUAGCAGGGUUCCAGCUCUGCAGCCUGUGUGCUGGACAUAAAGGGCAGGUGUAGAGAAGGUCUAAGGAUGGUUUUAGGAAGGGAGAUUUGCAAGAAGGAUGGUGGGUUCCUCGUGAAGAAGCAGUGUGUGUCUUGCUCACAGAAAAUAUUGCUGGUUCCUUCCCAACAUGUGGGUCUUGAAGAGUCUGAAGAGCAAGUAAAACAGAAAUAGAUUUCUCCUAAAUAGAUUUUUCCUUCUGAAGCAGUGGGGGGGAAAAGAAGCUGUGUUGUUACUUGAUUUGCUGACUGGUGGAGAACUAGUUAUUUAGAUAUGACUUCUUUGUGAUUAUCAUUUAUACCUGUAAACCUAAUUAACUGUUAGAGUGCCUAGAGCUUUUAGUGUGGGCAUUUAAUAAAUUUAAUCAGCACUGGGUCCAGAAAGAUCUGGUUAAUGAGCCAUAAUAAAUGGCAUAAUGUACCAUAAGUGUGUUAGAAAUUCCAACAUGCUGAAUAUACUGGAUUUUUGCAACUCUUAGCUCAAGUUCAUGACACGUGUGCUGACUUCAGUGGGACUAUUAAUUUUCAGUGGUGAAAAUUCAGUGAGAAUCUGACCUGCUGUCAUUCCACAUAGUUAAGCGUGGCUGGCAAAACUUAUGAAAACAAACUGUAGUCUUUGUAGGGAUAGUUAUUUCUGUCCUGUGUCCCAUUUUAAGUCUUAAGGUUGAAAAAAAAAAUACCUUUUAAUGGUCAGAUUAGUCAUGCUGAAUGUUGCUAAUGCUUUAUUAAUUCCCAAAAGAUGCGUUCUGUAACCAGAGAUGUCAAAACUCCGGUCACAUGUCUUAAAAACAUAAAAAGUGUGCUGGAAUCUCUGGGGACUUCUGUGUUCUUUAUUAAUACAUUGUACUGUUCCUAGAGUAAUAAAAUGGGACCCCUUGA